This 171-nucleotide ribosomal RNA is filed under the name uncultured bacterium. RNAcentral's name for it is "partial 16S ribosomal RNA". It matches the Rfam family "Bacterial small subunit ribosomal RNA", at positions 1322 to 1500 of the family's 1533-position model. The record is from RNAcentral.
GAAGUUGGAUUCGCUAGUAAUCGCGCAUCAGCCACGGCGCGGUGAAUACGUUCCCGGGCCUUGUACACACCGCCCGUCAAGCCAUGGGAGCCGGGGGUACCUGAAGUGCGUAACCGCGAGGAUCGCCCUAGGGUAAAACUGGUGACUGGGGCUAAGUCGUAACAAGGUAAC